Molecule: ribosomal RNA, 499 nt
Filed under: uncultured bacterium
Lineage: Bacteria
Description: partial 16S ribosomal RNA
Rfam family: Bacterial small subunit ribosomal RNA
Source: RNAcentral
ACUCAAAUGAAUUGACGGGGGCCCGCACAAGCGGUGGAUCAUGUGGUUUAAUUCGAAGCAACGCGAAGAACCUUACCUGGGUUUGACAUCCUCUGACAUCCGUAGAGAUACGGCUUUAGUAGCAAUACUACAGAGUGACAGGUGCUGCAUGGCUGUCGUCAGCUCGUGUGGUGACAUGUUGGGUUAAGUCCCGCAACGAGCGCAACCCUUGUCUCUAGUUGCCAGCAUUAAGUUGGGCUCUCUAGAGAGACUGCCGUGGUUAACACGGAGGAAGGUGGGGAUGACGUCAAGUCCUCAUGGCCUUUAUAUCCAGGGCGACACACGUGAUACAAUGGACGGUACAGAGGGAAGCCAAGGCGCGAGCCGGAGCCAAUCUCAAAAAGCCGUUCUCAGUUCGGAUUGGAGUCUGCAACUCGACUCCAUGAAGUUGGAAUCGCUAGUAAUCGCGGAUCAGCACGCCGCGGUGAAUACGUUCCCGGGCCUUGUACACACCGCCCGU